Molecule: ribosomal RNA, 265 nt
Filed under: uncultured bacterium
Lineage: Bacteria
Description: partial 16S ribosomal RNA
Rfam family: Bacterial small subunit ribosomal RNA
Source: RNAcentral
GUCCACGCCCUAAACGAUGCGAACUAGGUGUUGGGGAAGGAGACUUCCUUAGUACCGCAGCUAACGCGUGAAGUUCGCCGCCUGGGGAGUACGGUCGCAAGAUUAAAACUCAAAGGAAUUGACGGGGACCCGCACAAGCGGUGGAUGAUGUGGAUUAAUUCGAUGCAACGCGAAAACCUUACCUACCCUUGACAUGUACCGAAGCCUGGCGAGAGCUAGGUGUGCCCGAAAGGGAGCGGUAACACAGGUGCUGCAUGGCUGUCGU